UCACUGCAGCAGGAGCACAGGCUUUGGCGCUGUGCUGUUAGCCGUGGGUUUGUUUUCCAGCCUUAUGGCUCUGUGCUGGUGGAGACCCCGAGGCUGGGGCCCACCUGCCAGCUGUGAUGUGCUGCUGGCCCAGGGCCACCCCAGGUGCUGGGGUUCGAGAUCUGGUCUGGAGCAGCCCCUUCCCAAUUGCCUUCCCUUUCCUUUUUACGCACUCAGGGUUGAUCUCUGGGGCAGAACGGCGAGCGUUGGCCUGCAGGGUGCGGACAAGAGAACCAGUGAUGAUACAACCAUGGAAAUAUUGGAGCUGUGGAAUUUUGGAAGGCCUGUGCACAGCAUACUGGGGAGCUCAUGCAGCCUGGAGCAGCAAAGGCCAUGUCCAUUCCCAUAUCAAGAUGAAUAUUAUUUCCUUCAGCCAUGCCAUGUCAUUAUGGAAGAUAGCUGGCCUUUCAGACUUCCUGAGAUUUACACAUCUACCACUUUCCUUGACAUAUACUUAUGAUCUACUAUGCAGACUGGCUGAAUGUCGUUCCCAUCCCUGGACCCCUUCCUUCUCCUUUCCUUUGGGAGCAACCCAGGGCACAGAUGGAUACAGAGGCUGUGGUGUUUUCAAGGCUGCAGCAUGUCCCAAGACUAUGAUGAGCUUGGUUAGGCCUCAUGAAGGAACAGAAAAACCUCCUUAGGGACUCCAGGAAGAGCAGGGAAGGCUUGUGGCUGUGGCAGCCAUCACUGUGCCAACCUUCCCCCAAGAGGAGCCUGGUCCAGACGUGUGGUUCCUUCCACUGGGCUGGUGUCUUAGGAGUCAGAACAAUGAGAGCCAUCUGGAAAGGUAUCUGGAGUUUCUCCUCGCUGCGGGUGCUGCUUUCACACAGCUGAGGCUGGAGAAAUGCCUACUGAAAGUUGUGCCAUUUGUUAGGGACAGACAGAAGAUGUUGACUCUUCUGCCUUCUCUGCAGGAGUUUUCUGUGCAGUGAUGCUCACCGCAGCUGUGUCUGAUUUCCUGAAUGGUGUGCAAGGACAUGUUAAGAUCCACAGUUUUUCCUCAGCAAAUUGCAACAGAAGCCUGAACAGACAAAUGGACCCUGUGGUAAGGUUCAGUGGGUCUGUCAUGAUUCCAGUGUUCCCAGUGUCACUCCUUACCUGGUACACGAAUUGCUGAGGACCUGUUUCCUGAAAUGCUCUGUAAUGGAAGAGAUCAUCAAGUAGCAUUGAAUAAGUGACCACAGUCACCUUCAGCAAGUUUUUGGACUCAACCCCAUGGCAGAACAUCCAGAAGUGGUCUUUGGUGGGUCCAGCUAGCCAUUUGGAUGCACGUCUUUUUCAACAGGCUUGUUUCUUCCUUUGCAACACAGAUGAAGAAGAGCUGUCUGCAAAGUUAAUCCAAGCUGACAAGCUUCCUUCAUAUUUUAUGUGUCCCUUAAACUCAAGCUGGGACAGAACAGACACUUUCUGCUUACAGUGCUAAUGCAAGAAUGUCUUCCCCGUGGUCACUAAGUGAGCGUAACUGUCUCUGGCAAAGGAUGGAAUGACAGCAAAAAGAAAAGGCUCAUUUUGCCCACGAGCUUUCUCAGAUACCAGACAUUCAAGAAAAAGGUGCAGAAGGUUUUGAAGUCCUGGACACAGAUGUCUCUGAGUAACUAAAAUCUACCAUGUCUACUCACAUUUUGGUGAUCAUAUUUAUACUGUGGUCAUUUCAGCCCAGGCUUCCAAGUAUGAAAAAGGCAUGUUCUGUUUUUCUUAAAUUGUUUGGGUAGGUUCUGAAAGUGACUUUUGAGGCUGUAGCUAUGGCUGGCUACUUUCAUGGUUAUAGUAGAAUGCUUGAUAAGAUAGGAAAAAUAAUGAAGGGGAGAUAUGAAGAAUAGAAGGGAUAACUGGUGACUUUGCAACUGCAGAAAUGUAAUUAACCAAAUAUGCUCAAUCCUUUAAAACCAAUGAUCGGCCACUUGUAAGGUUCUGGUUAACCUUGGCUUUUAAGUAGAGUUCUGUACUGUCUUUGUAAUCAGUAAUUCAAAAUGUUCAUACAACCAUGACACUUUUUUGUUUGUUUGUUUUGUUCGUUUUUCCCACUGUAUUUGACUGUCCAUGUCUGUUUUAACCACAUAGUGUAAAACAUAUAAGAAAAUAUUCCUUUGUACCAUGAUUUCUUAUUCUUAUCACCAGACCACGUUAAGACAGUUUGAAUCAAUUCACAAUUCCACAUGCUGUGGUUAUAAGUAAUUUGAAAGAAGAGCAGGUGGAAGGAAGAAAAUCACACACAAGAUAAAUAUGUGAGAUUUCUAUCUGGAAAGUCUUAAAUAACAAUUUCCUAUGAGAAAGAGUAUUCUAAUUUGGAAGUUUUGACAAAGUGUAGCUAUGAGCAACUCAAUUUCUUCUUAUUCAUUUUCCAUAGUCCCUUCUUUGUCCAGGCAUGUGACUUGUGUACAUAUUCGUAAUCUAUAUGCACACUUCCACAAACACACAUACAAUUUUAAGUCUUUAUGGAAAUAAUAGAGAUUCAAAAACGUCUGUCAGGGAGCUGGGGGUACACCAGGAGCUGGAGGGGACACAGCCAGGACAGCUGGUCCAGCAUGACCAAAGGGACAUACCACACCAUGGGGCACCGUGAGAUUAUUAAUUAAUUAAUUAAUACUAUUACUUUAUAAUAAUUAAUAGUGGGUUGUGAGCAACUGCAUUGUAUGUCAUUUAUUUUAUUUGUGAUUUUAUCAUAAUUAUUAACGUUAUUUUCCCUGUUAGACUAUCUUUAUCUUUCAACUCAAGAGUUUAACUUUUUGUUUUUGUUUUUGUUUUUGUUUUUUUCUUUCCCUGAUUUUUCCCCAUCCUACUGGGGGUGGGGUGAGAUGAGUGAGUGAAUGGCUGUGUGGUGUUUAGCUGCCUGCCGGGUUAAACCACAAUGACCUGUGAGGGCUGUAAUCUCUUGCAAACAUAUGAAGGAGCAGCGGAGAGCAGACUGUGAGGUCUUCUGCUUGCUUGGAGUCUGGAGAGUAGUCUGCUGGCUGGGGAGUGUUCGGCUCUUUUCAGACAAAGCUGAAACUUCCCUGUACUGAAGCCAUCCACACUUUCACCUUAGCAGUAGGUGGAGCCCCUAAAUCUGAAUCAGAAAAGGGUCAGGUCAGUUUAAAAAUACUUCCAGUAUUUUUUCCCCUUUACCACAGUUCUCUGAACAGUCUAAACAAUGCUUCUUAUCCUCAGCUACUGACAAUCACACAAAUUUAAUACAAGAUAUGUAUUUUCCAAGUCUUAAUAUGCACAUUAAGACUUGCAGAUUUCCCAGAUUAUUUAAUUUCCUCAGACAUGCAUAUGCUGAGCCAUUCAAGUUACUUUUUGAAGAUGACAAAUAUUUCCUACUGCCUUCUCUCAAGAGAAGUGAUGUUCAUAUCUUGCUCUUCCUUGCUGCAUGGAGAAGUGACCAAGCCCAUACUCAGGCAAUGGCUG
Molecule: long non-coding RNA, 3429 nt
Organism: Anas platyrhynchos (mallard)
Lineage: Eukaryota; Metazoa; Chordata; Aves; Anseriformes; Anatidae
Source: RefSeq, a predicted model, not a curated record